UGAGCGGUGUAUCGACCACAGAAUCAAUCUUACGCCUUUUACUUAAAGAUCGCCGUUGUUGAUGCACGCCAACGCUCUUAGUCCAAAUUUUUCUCCUUCCCCUUUCUCCCUCUCCGGAGUGA
RNAcentral lists this small nuclear RNA (122 nucleotides) under Microbotryum lychnidis-dioicae p1A1 Lamole. RNAcentral describes it as "Microbotryum violaceum p1A1 Lamole U5 spliceosomal RNA". It matches the Rfam family "U5 spliceosomal RNA". From Rfam's summary of the family: U5 RNA is a component of both types of known spliceosome. The precise function of this molecule is unknown, though it is known that the 5' loop is required for splice site selection and p220 binding, and that both the 3' stem-loop and the Sm site are important for Sm protein binding and cap methylation. The record is from Rfam by way of RNAcentral. Lineage: Eukaryota; Fungi; Basidiomycota; Microbotryomycetes; Microbotryales; Microbotryaceae. RNAcentral also lists the same sequence under 1 other name.